RNA transcript from Phragmites australis (common reed), 1195 nucleotides. It is a transcript of the gene named hsp70-Hsp90 organizing protein 2-like, with no coding region annotated. Lineage: Eukaryota; Viridiplantae; Streptophyta; Magnoliopsida; Poales; Poaceae. The record is from RefSeq and is a predicted model, not a curated record. The transcript has 4 exons.
AUACUAAGCGUGGAAGAAACGGCGAGCUCUCAGCGUGUUUGGUUCCUGUGCUGCCAGCUCCACCCGCUGCUAGGAGGGCCCGAUGCCAGUGCUACCGCUAGCAAACGCUCGGUCCAGCCAGUGUCCAGAAAGAUCGAGCGAGCCCGUUAACCAACGCCAGGCACCAGCGGAAAAAUCUCCAUGCUCCCAACUUCUGUUCGCUUCCUUAGAGUGCCCGCAAGCUCCUUCUUCGCUGCUUGCUCGACAUGGUUCCCCAACGAGUCCAUCCCGCACCGAAGCUCAGCAAUCGAAUAGGCGUUGGCGGUGGGAGCUCCUUCGCUGCUUGCUCGACGCGGUUCCCCAACGAGACCAUCCCGCGCUGAAGCCCAGCAAUCGAAUAGACGUCAGCGAUGGAAGUUGCCUUCGUCGCUCCCAGCACCAACCAUCAGGAGCCCCGACGUCGACCUCCCGGCCACGGAGUCUUUGCUGGCUUCGCCUGGGUGAUGGAGAAAAGGCUUUGGAUGAUGCGGUGGAAUGCAAACAGCUGCGCCCGAAGAGGGCAAAGGCCUACUACCGCAAAGGAGCAGCUCUGAUGCUUCUGAAGGAAUAUGGAAGUGCUUAUGAUACGCUCUAUCGUGGUUUGGAGUUGGACCCUGAAAGUGAAGAGAUGGAGAAAUUAUUUUGGUAGGAGAUCCAUCUUUUCCUCUUAUUUUUCUCCAAUGAUACGAGUGUGCUAGGUCGGUUAAUAUUGUUAAGGGGAGGCGAUGGAACUGAAGUAGUUACUGCCUGCAAGAAGCUGACGCAAAACUGGAAGCUCCUUUUGGUUUCUCAUAGAUGGAUGGAUGGACACAAACGCUCAUCAGUGGGUUGCCUCUAUGGUUUACACCUUAGGUUGCUAGAUUUCAAACUAUGGAACCUUUUUUUUGUGGUGUGCAAUUCACGGAGGCUAGCGAGAAUUUAAAGCAGCAUAGGUAGUACUAUCUUGACAUUAUGUUCGAGUAGCAGCAGCUACAACAUUCUCACAUCCUGCCUGUGUAUGGAAGCAUGCCAGUGCAUGAUGUAGCGGUUAGCUGAAGUGAUAAAAUUCGCAGAAAUGUUUUGAAACUUGAAAUGCUAUGCUGCAUGGCUAACUCCCAAUUUCCCAUUCGAUGAGUAAGAAACAGGUGUCGAUAUGCUUGUUUUUUCCCCAUGUUUUCUGAAUGGAUAUAGCCGCCCU